Molecule: transfer RNA, 73 nt
Filed under: Cabomba caroliniana
Lineage: Eukaryota; Viridiplantae; Streptophyta; Magnoliopsida; Nymphaeales; Cabombaceae
Description: tRNA-Tyr
Source: RNAcentral
AUAUUAUUAGAUUAUACUAUAUUAUUAGAUUAUAAUUUAUUCUAAAUAUUAUAUUCUAAUUCUAAUUAAUAUU